GGUUGCAAUCAUCUUGUUGUUAACUCGGACAAUAUGGAAAUGAUUGACACAAUGAAGAAUGGAGGAUACUCGGCGGGAGCGGUUUUUGAUGAUUGUUAUAUUUUGGCUUGUGAUUUUUCUCUUGUUAGAUUUGAACAUUGCAAUAGGGAAGCAAAUAAGGUGGCUCAUGAAAUUGCUAGGCUAGUGAAAUUUUCUGUCUCUAGCGAUAUUGUACGUUUUCUUAUUGAUGACAUAACAAUUAUUUCUAAUUAA
This 252-nucleotide ribosomal RNA is filed under the name Triticum aestivum (bread wheat). Its description in RNAcentral is "partial small subunit ribosomal RNA". The record is from RNAcentral. Lineage: Eukaryota; Viridiplantae; Streptophyta; Magnoliopsida; Poales; Poaceae.